UAGUCCACACCGUAAACGCUGUCUACUAGCUGUUUGUGAAUUUAAUUCGUGAGUAGCGAAGCUAACGCGAUAAGUAGACCGCCUGGGGAGUACGGCCGCAAGGUUAAAACUCAAAUGAAUUGACGGGGGCCCGCACAAGCGGUGGAGCAUGUGGUUUAAUUCGAUGCAACGCGAAGAACCUUACCAAUCCUUGAAAUUUAGCGAAGUUCGCAGAGAUGUGAAUGUGCCUUCGGGAACGCUAUGACAGGUGUUGCAUGGCUGUCGUCAGCUCGUGUCGUGAGAUGUAUGGUUAAGUCCAGUAACGAGCGCAACCCCUAUCCUUAUUUGCCAGCGCGUAAUGGCGGGAACUAUAGGGAGACUGCCGGGUGAAACCCGGAGGAAGGCGGGGACGAGGUCAAGUCAUCAUGGCCCUUAUGGAUUGGGCUACACACGUGCUACAAUGGGAAGUACAGAGGGAUGCGAAAGCGCGAGCUGAAGCAAACCCUUAAACUUUCUUAGUCCGGA
This 504-nucleotide ribosomal RNA is filed under the name uncultured bacterium. RNAcentral's name for it is "bacterial SSU rRNA". It matches the Rfam family "Bacterial small subunit ribosomal RNA", at positions 791 to 1297 of the family's 1533-position model. The record is from RNAcentral.